UACGUAGGGUGCAAGCGUUAAUCGGAAUUACUGGGCGUAAAGCGUGCGCAGGCGGUUGGGAAAGUCAGCUGUGAAAGCCCCGGGCUUAACCUGGGAAUGGCGGUUGAAACUACUCGACUAGAAUCUGGCAGAGGGGGGUGGAAUUCCACGUGUAGCAGUGAAAUGCGUAGAGAUGUGGAGGAACACCGAUGGCGAAGGCAGCCCCCUGGGCUGAGAUUGACGCUCAGGCACGAAAGCGUGGGGAGCAAACAGG
RNAcentral lists this ribosomal RNA (253 nucleotides) under uncultured bacterium. RNAcentral describes it as "partial 16S ribosomal RNA". It matches the Rfam family "Bacterial small subunit ribosomal RNA", at positions 524 to 776 of the family's 1533-position model. The record is from RNAcentral.